CACGUAGGGUGCGAGCGUUGUCCGGAAUUAUUGGGCGUAAAGAGCUCGUAGGCGGUGUGUCGCGUCGGCCGUGAAAACCUGCAGCUUAACUGUGGGCGUGCGGUCGAUACGGGCAUCACUGGAGUUCGGCAGGGGAGACUGGAAUUCCAGGUGUAGCGGUGAAAUGCGUAGAUAUCUGGAGGAACACCCGUGGUGCAGACGGCUUGCUGGACCAUUACUGACGCUGAGGCACGAAAGCGUGGGUAGCAAACAGG
This 254-nucleotide ribosomal RNA is filed under the name uncultured bacterium. Its description in RNAcentral is "partial 16S ribosomal RNA". It matches the Rfam family "Bacterial small subunit ribosomal RNA", at positions 524 to 776 of the family's 1533-position model. The record is from RNAcentral.